Molecule: long non-coding RNA, 841 nt
Organism: Mytilus californianus (California mussel)
Lineage: Eukaryota; Metazoa; Mollusca; Bivalvia; Mytilida; Mytilidae
Exons: 4
Source: RefSeq, a predicted model, not a curated record
GAAAUGUAACAGUUCUAAUAAUCUCAUGAGCGAAUAUAAGACACUUCCAUCAAUAAAGGGCUAUAACUCAACGCCCUUUGCUUAAUAUAUAAUAUUCAUGAAAAAUGAAAAAACAUGAGAGGCAUACUACUCUACACUAAUCACUGCCUUCGGCUUUUUUCGUAAUCCGAUCUUCAAGCUGUUUGACCCGGAUUGACCUUUCGUUGCUACUGAAGCAAAUAUGGCUGCAUAUUGAUGAAAGGAUAUUUUUUACCAACUUUACCAGUAAAUGAGGACAAACACAAUCAAAAUGGUGACACAAUAGAUAACAGCACAGUGCUAAGAUUGAAUCAGAAUGAAUAAAACAAAAAGUUUUUAUUAGCUACAUCAACCAGAAGAACUUUUCACAUGAUUAUUGAUUUAGUUUCCUUGGAGAUUUUAACAGUAAUUGUUAAAACUUGAAAUCAGACAGAAGGAAACUUUGAGAAAAUUUACAUAUACAGUGUACAUGUAGCUUCAAUAUGAAUCAAUUGAUUGGUACACUAUCACAAUGAUGUCAACCUGAUCUUUGGAAGAUUAUCAAGUUACAUGAGAAGCAUUGAAAGCCUGUAGAUUAUAUACACAAAUGGAAUAGACUCACACUUUCAAAAAACUUUCAGACAAGACAGUGACUAAUGCAAUCUCAAACAAGGAUCAUUCAUGUUUCAAUGAGUGAAUUGGAGUGCAUACCAGUUGCGCAUGAAACUUUGUGUGCAUUUUUUAAUAUCAAUUUCCAUUUUAUUAAUUGUUUUGAAAAAAUUGUAUGUCUUCAUAAUUUUAUCAUGAACAUAUUGUUGUUAAUAAUUAAAAAAGAAAUAAAGAA